UUGAUCCCACCACCUCCUCCAACCAUUCCACCCCAUGUAAAGCCAGGAGUCCUGACUUCUCCCAAGUAUUCUAUUACGAGUAGGAAACAAUUGCUUGCAAACCACGUCAAACUCACUGUGAAAGCUCCAGAUUGUGUAUUCUACCAAUAUUCUGUAUGUCUACCUCAUGUUCAUAUUACUUCUGAAAACAAGAAGGCCGCUCAAGGCAAGGG
This 212-nucleotide long non-coding RNA is filed under the name Rosa chinensis. RNAcentral's name for it is "sRNA RchiOBHm_Chr0c20g0500311". Lineage: Eukaryota; Viridiplantae; Streptophyta; Magnoliopsida; Rosales; Rosaceae. The record is from RNAcentral.